Molecule: non-coding RNA, 21 nt
Filed under: Caenorhabditis elegans
Lineage: Eukaryota; Metazoa; Nematoda; Chromadorea; Rhabditida; Rhabditidae
Source: RNAcentral
UGGUUUUGAAUAAUGUGUCUU